UACAGAGGGUGCAAGCGUUAAUCGGAGUUACUGGGCGUAAAGGGCGCGUAGGCGGUUAAUUAAGAUGGAUGUGAAAUCCCUGGGCUUAACCCAGGAACUGCAUCCAUGACUGAUAGACUAGAGUACUGUAGAGGGUAGUGGAAUUUCCGGUGUAGCGGUGAAAUGCGUAGAGAUCGGAAGGAACACCAGUGGCGAAGGCGGCUACCUGGACAGAUACUGACGCUGAGGCGCGAGAGCGUGGGGAGCAAACAGG
This 253-nucleotide ribosomal RNA is filed under the name uncultured bacterium. RNAcentral describes it as "partial 16S ribosomal RNA". It matches the Rfam family "Bacterial small subunit ribosomal RNA", at positions 524 to 776 of the family's 1533-position model. The record is from RNAcentral.